CGGAGGAAAAGAAACUAACAAGGAUUCCCCUAGUAACUGCGAGUGAAGAGGGAAGAGCUCAAAUUUUGAAUCUGGCGGUCUUCGGCCGUCCGAGUUGUAAUCUAGAGAAGCGUUAUCCGCGCUGGACCGUGUACAAGUCUCCUGGAAGGGAGCGUCGUAGAGGGUGAGAAUCCCGUCUUUGACACGGACUACCAGUGCUAUGUGAUGCGCUCUCGACGAGUCGAGUUGUUUGGGAAUGCAGCUCAAAAUGGGUGGUAAAUUCCAUCUAAAGCUAAAUACAGGCGAGAGACCGAUAGCGAACAAGUACCGUGAGGGAAAGAUGAAAAGAACUUUGGAAAGAGAGUUAAACAGUACGUGAAAUUGCUGAAAGGGAAACGCUUGAUGUCAGUCGCGUCGGCCGGGGAUCAACCUUGCUUCUCYGCUGGGUGUACUUCCCGGUCGAUGGGUCAGCAUCAGCUUCGGUCGCCGUACAAGGGCGAGGGGAACGUGGCACUCUUCGGAGUGUGUUAUAGCCUUUCGUCGUAUGCGGCGGUCGGGACUGAGGAACUCAGCACGGCUUCCGUUUGUGCUUAGGAUGCUGGCAUAAUGGCCUUAAGCGACCCGUCUUGAAACACGGACCAAGGAGUCUAACAUGCCUGCGAGUGUUUGGGUGGCAAACCCGAGCGCGUAAUGAAAGUGAAAGUUGAGACCUCUGUCGUGGAGGGCAUCGACGCCCGGACCUGAGUCUUUGACGACGGAUCUGCGGUAGAGCAUGCAUGUUGGGACCCGAAAGAUGGUGAACUAUGCCUGAAUAGGGUGAAGCCAGAGGAAACUCUGGGGAGGCUCGUAGCGAU
This 833-nucleotide ribosomal RNA is filed under the name Suillellus sp. 'glabriceps'. RNAcentral describes it as "eukaryotic LSU rRNA". It matches the Rfam family "Eukaryotic large subunit ribosomal RNA", at positions 51 to 884 of the family's 3401-position model. Lineage: Eukaryota; Fungi; Basidiomycota; Agaricomycetes; Boletales; Boletaceae. The record is from RNAcentral.